AAAACAAAGAGUUUGAUCGUGGCUCAGGACGAACGCUGGCGGCGUGCUUAACACAUGCAAGUCGAGCGGAAAGGCCCUUCGGGGUACUCGAGCGGCGAACGGGUGAGUAACACGUGAGUAAUCUGCCCCAGGCUCUGGGAUAGCCACCGGAAACGGUGAUUAAUACCGGAUACGACAACCGAUUGCAUGAUCUGGUUGUGGAAAGUUUUUCGGCCUGGGAUGUGCUCGCGGCCUAUCAGCUUGUUGGUGAGGUAAUGGCUCACCAAGGCUUCGACGGGUAGCCGGCCUGAGAGGGUGACCGGCCACACUGGGGGACUGAGACACGGCCCAGACUCCUACGGGAGGCAGCAGUGGGGAAUAUUGGACAAUGGGCGGAAGCCUGAUCCAGCAACGCCGCGUGAGGGAUGACGGCCUUCGGGUUGUAAACCUCUUUCAGCACAGACGAAGCGCAAGUGACGGUAUGUGCAGAAGAAGGACCGGCCAACUACGUGCCAGCCGCCGCGGUAAU
Molecule: ribosomal RNA, 508 nt
Filed under: Nocardia sp. CA3
Lineage: Bacteria; Bacillati; Actinomycetota; Actinomycetes; Mycobacteriales; Nocardiaceae
Description: bacterial SSU rRNA
Rfam family: Bacterial small subunit ribosomal RNA
Source: RNAcentral